Molecule: ribosomal RNA, 253 nt
Filed under: uncultured bacterium
Lineage: Bacteria
Description: partial 16S ribosomal RNA
Rfam family: Bacterial small subunit ribosomal RNA
Source: RNAcentral
UACGGGGGGGGCAAGCGUUGUUCGGAAUUACUGGGCGUAAAGGGCUCGUAGGCGGCCAACUAAGUCAGACGUGAAAUCCCUCGGCUUAACCGGGGAACUGCAUCUGAUACUGGAUGGCUUGAGUUCGGGAGAGGGAUGCGGAAUUCCAGGUGUAGCGGUGAAAUGCGUAGAUAUCUGGAGGAACACCGGUGGCGAAGGCGGCAUCCUGGACCGGUACUGACGCUGAGGAGCGAAAGCGUGGGUAGCAAACAGG